GACGAAGGGGGCUAGCGUUGUUCGGAAUUACUGGGCGUAAAGCGAGUGUAGGUGGUUGUCGUAGUCAGGUGUGAAAGCCUUGAGCUCAACUCCAGAACUGCCUUUGAUACUGAAGAUCUUGAGUUCGGGAGAGGUGAGUGGAACUGCGAGUGUAGAGGUGAAAUUCGUAGAUAUUCGCAAGAACACCAGUGGCGAAGGCGGCUCACUGGCCCGAUACUGACGCUGAGGCACGAAAGCGUGGGGAGCAAACAGG
RNAcentral lists this ribosomal RNA (253 nucleotides) under uncultured bacterium. RNAcentral's name for it is "partial 16S ribosomal RNA". It matches the Rfam family "Bacterial small subunit ribosomal RNA", at positions 524 to 776 of the family's 1533-position model. The record is from RNAcentral.